Rosa chinensis is the source of this 348-nucleotide long non-coding RNA. RefSeq lists it as uncharacterized. The record is from RefSeq and is a predicted model, not a curated record. The transcript is spliced from 3 exons. NCBI's taxonomy places the organism in Eukaryota, Viridiplantae, Streptophyta, Magnoliopsida, Rosales, Rosaceae.
GCAGUGCGGUUAAAAGUUACAAUGCUGAAAAGGGGAGGGCUAACAAAAUGCCUAAAUUAAGACUACUCCCGGGCGUACCUAAACAACCGGGUGGAAUUGAGUGUGGCUACUAUGUUAUGCGGUACAUGAAGGAUAUUAUUAAUGAUGACACACUUUCCUUUUCGACCAAGUGGGCGGUAAAGACUCGGAAAGGAUAUACCCAACAACAACUUGACGAGGUGCGCAUGGAGGUGGCCGACUACUUGCAGACCUUGUUGUAGAUUCUGACUAGGAUGGGGAUUUUGAGUAAGGCUAGAUAGCUUUUGGUUCACUUUGACUACUUACAGACCUUGUUGUAGAUUCUGACUA